This 447-nucleotide ribosomal RNA is filed under the name uncultured bacterium. RNAcentral describes it as "partial 16S ribosomal RNA". It matches the Rfam family "Bacterial small subunit ribosomal RNA", at positions 29 to 523 of the family's 1533-position model. The record is from RNAcentral.
AACGAACGCUGGCGGCAGGCUUAACACAUGCAAGUCGAACGCCCCGCAAGGGGAGUGGCAGACGGGUGAGUAACGCGUGGGAAUCUACCGUACCCUACGGAACAACAGUUGGAAACGACUGCUAAUACCGUAUACGCCCUACGGGGGAAAGAUUUAUCGGGGUAUGAUGAGCCCGCGUUGGAUUAGCUAGUUGGUGGGGUAAAGGCCUACCAAGGCGACGAUCCAUAGCUGGUCUGAGAGGAUGAUCAGCCACAUUGGGACUGAGACACGGCCAAAACCACAACGGGAGGAGGAAGGGAGGAAUUUGGGACAAUGGGCGAAGCCUUGAUGCACCCAUGCCGCGUGGGGGUAGAGGGUUUAGGGAUUGAAAGGCUUUUACCCCGGAGAAGAAAAUGACGGUACCGGAAGAGAAAGCCCCGGCAACUUUCGUGCCAGCCGCCGCAGAAA